AAUUUUCUGAUGGGUUUUUAUGUCCCGUGGGACCCACCCACAUGGGUCUUCACCCUUUCCCAUGCUUCUACUCCUCUUUGCACUCCAUCACUCUUCCGUCUCCCUCCUUCACGCAAUCAUCUCUCUCACUAACUUUCUCUCUCUACCUCUUCACACUUUUCUGUCAUCUCCCUCGCCAUCUCUGUGCUCAUUGCAUAGAAAACUGCAGCAUCCAUCUCCAUCUAACUAGCCACUCCGGCAAACCUUGCCACCACCCAAACACUACACUUCCACCCUCGCUCUUUCAUAAUUUUUUUGUCUCUCCCUCUCGGCUUCUUCCUUGACACAGAUAAGCACAUAAGCAACGACGGCAACAGAGCUGUCGAUCUCUGGUGAGGCAACCACCAGCGUCACCUUUCUCUCCUCACUGCAGACUCCUAUUUACCUUUUGCUUUCUGGAAAUCGAAACCGACGUGACGAAAUGACAAGCUCUAUCGCAGCUUGAGUCCCCGGUAAGAUUUUUCGUCGAAUCCAGUAUAGUUUCAACUCAGGGGACAAAUUCCCCUGAUUUCCAGCGAGGGCUAUGAUUUUAGGCUAUCACCAGCCACCUAAUGGCCUUAAAGAAGGUCGCACUGUCGCUGCAUGUGGUACUGUUGUGGAUGGCGCGUGGAGCACAGGCGCCUCCACUGGAAGGAUGACUGCUUGAAAUGAUGAAUAUACGUUUUCAAAUGUUUGUUUUAGAUUGUAGGGUAUUUCAAAUUUGUUUUUUUUAUUUUUUUAUUUUUAAUUUAAUUGAUAGGGCACAAUUACAAAAAUUGUGCUAACAUGAAUAUGAAAUGGCAUCUGGCACAGGUGUCAGAGCAGGGCACAAGAAAAACCUUAUUUGUGCUCAACUCUUUGAGCACACAUGGCCAUAUCGUGCCCUCUAAUCAAUGGUGACACCCAUAGAGGGCGCAAACACAAAGAUAGUAGCUACACUGUUGCUAUUGAUCUAUGAGCAUAAUUGUUGGCGCUUUUUUACCUCAAAGGACACAUAUAAUUUAUUGUGCGCGGUGCUUAUUUUUGUUGUAGUGAAAUGGAACUUGGGAGGUGAAGAUAUUAUCUUUAUCUUCCUAAAGAGAUUGAAAGGAAUCUAUAAGGGGUUUACAACUUUA
This is a long non-coding RNA of Malus domestica (apple), 1133 nucleotides long. RefSeq lists it as uncharacterized. The record is from RefSeq and is a predicted model, not a curated record. NCBI's taxonomy places the organism in Eukaryota, Viridiplantae, Streptophyta, Magnoliopsida, Rosales, Rosaceae.